GACGAACGCUGGCGGCGUGCUUAACACAUGCAAGUCGAGCGGUAAGGGCCCUUUACGGGGGUACACGAGCGGCGAACGGGUGAGUAACACGUGGGUGACCUGCCCUCAGUUCUGGGAUAAGCCUGGGAAAACCGGGUCUAAUACUGGAUAUGACCUCAUGACGCAUGUUGUGGGGUGAAAGCCUUGUGCGACUGAGGAUGGGCCCGCGGCCUAUCAGCUUGUUGGUGGGGUNAUCGGCCUACCAAGGCGACGACGGGUAGCCGGCCUGAGAGGCGACCGGCCACACUGGGACUGAGACACGGCCCAGACUCCUACGGGAGGCAGCAGUGGGGAAU
Molecule: ribosomal RNA, 335 nt
Filed under: uncultured bacterium
Lineage: Bacteria
Description: bacterial SSU rRNA
Rfam family: Bacterial small subunit ribosomal RNA
Source: RNAcentral